RNAcentral lists this ribosomal RNA (409 nucleotides) under Actinomycetes bacterium. RNAcentral describes it as "Actinobacteria bacterium partial 16S ribosomal RNA". It matches the Rfam family "Bacterial small subunit ribosomal RNA", at positions 355 to 776 of the family's 1533-position model. Lineage: Bacteria; Bacillati; Actinomycetota; Actinomycetes. The record is from RNAcentral.
GGGGGAAUAUUGCACAAUGGGCGAAAGCCUGAUGCAGCGACGCCGCGGGAGGGAUGACGGCCUUCGGGUUGAAAACCUCUUUCAGCAGAGACGAAGAGCAAGUGACGGUACCUGCAGAAGAAGCACCGGCUAACUACGUGCCAGCAGCCGCGGUAAUACGUAGGGUGCAAGCGUUGUCCGGAAUUACUGGGCGUAAAGAGUUCGUAGGCGGUUUGUCGCGUCGUUUGUGAAAACCAGCAGCUCAACUGCUGGCUUGCAGGCGAUACGGGCAGACUUGAGUACUGCAGGGGAGACUGGAAUUCCUGGUGUAGCGGUGAAAUGCGCAGAUAUCAGGGGGAACACCGGUGGCGAAGGCGGGUCUCUGGGCAGUAUCUGACGCUGGGGAACGAGAGCGUGGGUAGCGAACAGG